Long non-coding RNA from Acanthochromis polyacanthus (spiny chromis), 1431 nucleotides. RefSeq lists it as uncharacterized. The transcript is spliced from 3 exons. NCBI's taxonomy places the organism in Eukaryota, Metazoa, Chordata, Actinopteri, Pomacentridae. The record is from RefSeq and is a predicted model, not a curated record.
AAAACAUCAUGAUGUCAGAUUCCCAGAAACAGAUGAAUGGAUGAAAACCUGGAACUGAGAGUCCAAGUGAGCAGAUAUCAGUCAGAGAGAAUAAAAUGUGGACUUUCAGCUCAGAAUCAGAGUCUGUGUUCAUGAAGCAGCCUCUGUUUGCUGCAUGAUGCUGAAUUACAGUAAAUCUAACCAAUAAUAUGAUGGAACUCUUCCAGCUGGGACACUAUCGGAGUGGUUUCAUGAUCAAACCUGCUCAGUCAUCGUCCUGAUAUUGGACAGAUAUGCAGAAAACCUCAUUUACUAGAUUUUCUCAUCAAGUUCCUCUGACUGGAACCAAACUCUACAUUUUUAAAGCUUCUCUUGGUGCCAGAAAGAGGAAAAUAAGUCAUCAUCUCAGGGUGAAAAUAAAUGUUUUGUGGUUGGUGGAGAAUCAGAAUAGACAAAAACACUGAGAUGUUUGGACCAAACUUUCACCUUCAUAGAACUGGUUUGUAUUCUUCUAUCACAGCAGGUUGAACCUUUGAAGACCAGACGUUCACAUCAAUGAGAAGAUUAAACUUCAGGACUGCAGAUAUGUUAUUUAUCAUUAUUAUUUCAGACAUCCAUCCACACACUGAUAUGAAGAAAAUCUCAUAGAAAGUCCUCAUGAUCUUCUUCCUUAAGAAUUCUUGACUCAAAAAUUAAUGUUGCCUUUGAGCCCAGAUUUUACAGGAGAUCAGCUCAAUGUUCACACCUUAAAACACAUCAGUGAAGUUGGAGAGGCUCAGACGUGGAGCAUUCAGUGAACUGAGGCAGAAUGAGCCAUGUGGACGAGCUGCUGCUGCCAUGAUGGAUCAGAGGUCUGGUUCUGGUCCAAUCAGAGCUGCUGCUGCCAUGAUGGAUCAGAGGUCUGGUUCUGGUCCAAUCAGAGCUGCUGCUGCCAUGAUGGAUCAGAGGUCUGGUUCUGGUCCAAUCAGAGCUGCUGCUGCCAUGAUGGAUCAGCGGUCUGGUUCUGGUCCAAUCAGAGCUGCUGCUGCCAUGAUGGAUCAGUGGUCUGGUUCUGGUCCAAUCAGAGCUGCUGCUGCCAUGAUGGAUCAGUGGUCGGGUUCUGGUCCAAUCAGAGCUGCUGCUGCCAUGAUGGAUCAGAGGUCUGGUUCUGGUCCAAUCAGAGCUGCUGCUGCCAUGAUGGAUCAGCGGUCGGGUUCUGGUCCAAUCAGAGCUGCUGCUGCCAUGAUGGAUCAGCGGUCGGGUUCUGGUCCAAUCAGAGCUGCUGCUGGACCUUUGAGGACUAAACUGGAUUCAUCUUCAGUUUGUCACCUCAACAUGAUGUGAUGAAAACAGAAAAACAAACUCUCUCUGGGCUCCAAGGCUUCAGCUGACAUGUUUCCAGGACACUUUGUUCUCAUCAGCUCAAUGUGCUGCAGGUAGAGAAGCUCAACAACUUUGACUGCAGCUGGAAAU